Molecule: ribosomal RNA, 460 nt
Filed under: uncultured bacterium
Lineage: Bacteria
Description: partial 16S ribosomal RNA
Rfam family: Bacterial small subunit ribosomal RNA
Source: RNAcentral
CCUACGGGAGGCAGCAGUGAGGAAUAUUGGUCAAUGGACGAGAGUCUGAACCAGCCAAGUAGCGUGAAGGAUGACUGCCCUAUGGGUUGUAAACUUCUUUUAUAUGGGAAUAAAACGUUCCACGUGUGGGAUUUUGUAUGUACCAUAUGAAUAAGGAUCGGCUAACUCCGUGCCAGCAGCCGCGGUAAUACGGAGGGUCCGAGCGUUAUCCGGAUUUAUUGGGUUUAAAGGGAGCGUAGGUGGAUUGUUAAGUCAGUUGUGAAAGUUUGCGGCUCAACCGUAAAAUUGCAGUUGAAACUGGCAGUCUUGAGUACAGUAGAGGUAGGCGGAAUUCGUGGUGUAGCGGUGAAAUGCUUAGAUAUCACGAAGAACUCCGAUUGCGAAGGCAGUUCACUGGACUGCAACUGACACUGAGGCUCGAAAGUGUGGGUAUCAAACAGGAUUAGAUACCCCAGUAGUC